This is a non-coding RNA of Scomber scombrus (Atlantic mackerel), 354 nucleotides long. NCBI's taxonomy places the organism in Eukaryota, Metazoa, Chordata, Actinopteri, Scombriformes, Scombridae. The record is from the annotation of a RefSeq genome assembly.
AUGGAACAUUGGCUGUGGAUUAUUCUUGCUGCUCUUUUCUUUGAGUGUAAAGGACAAGACAAAGUGAUCCAGCCACCAGGAGAUGUCAUUGCUACUGAAGGACAGACAGUUACACUUAAUUGUACUUUUGGGACAAGUGCUACAACUCCAUAUUUGUUCUGGUACAAACAAGAAGUAAAUGAUUCCCCAAAGUAUGUUUUGCAACGUUUCAAGUCUGGAACAGGCGUGAAUGCUCCUGAUUUCCAGAACGACAGAUUUGAUGCUACAGUCAACGGGACGUCAGUUCCUCUGAAGAUCCAGAAGCUGCAGCUGUCUGACUCUGCUGUGUACUACUGUGCUCUGCAGCCCACAUUG